This 40508-nucleotide long non-coding RNA is filed under the name Hordeum vulgare. Its description in RNAcentral is "long non-coding RNA (HVUL_LNC016148)". Lineage: Eukaryota; Viridiplantae; Streptophyta; Magnoliopsida; Poales; Poaceae. The record is from RNAcentral.
GUAUUGAAUGUAAGAUUGCAUUGUUGUAGAGACAGAGAAUGGAACACCCCAUUCAGUUUGUCAUCUGAUCCCACAUUCUCUAUCCCAUGAGUGAAAUAAGAUAACAAUCCAUUGAUCAAUUCACGUAGCCUCUUUGUUUUGCUUUACUUGUUCCACUCAAUUUCUCAUCAUGGUAUAAUUAACAAUGGACGGGUCGAUUUCUUAACAAAAUAGGAUAGGACUGACUACAUUAGUUAGUUAGCUUAUUAUUUUAAUAAAUCAAAAUUAUUAUAAAAAGAUUAAAAGCACGUAGUAUUUUUUACUACUACCGUUGCAACGCACGGACCCUUUUGCUAGUUGCUUAUAAUGCACUUUCAGCAUGCUGGAGCAUCAUAUCAACGAACAUAACUACUGAACAUGCAACAGCUUUUUGUAUCGUAUAGGCAAAUACCUUUCAGAAGAAUACAUAUAAAUUCAUACUGAAACUAGUGGAACAAAAUUUGUAUAGCUUCUUAAAAGCUCAAAGGUCCUUGCUGAACAAACUUAUGUCUAGAGCCUAUAUAAGCCGACACAACUAACAUUUCUGAAUAGCUCAAACUCCACAUAUUCUCUGGAAGGAUAUUUCUAUCUACCACAGGCCACCUCAUCCAAAAUUACUCAGUUGGCUUGUCUGGGUCAUCUUCCUCAGGAUCCUCCUUGUCAGGAUCAUCCUCCUGUGGUUCUUCUUGAGGUUGUGCUUCUUCCUCUUCUUCUUCCUCAUCAUCAUCCAGAGGAUCAUCAGCUGGUAAUGGAUGGGGCAAUGGUGUUUUCAUAGGGCUGAACUUUGGGAAGAUGUCAGGUCUCCUCCCAGGCUUAGGUUUCUCCCAUUCCUACAAAUGAGUAAUAGAUGGGGAGCAUCAGCUUCACUGCUAACACAGAGGAAGAAUGUCUGAUGGAACAUCUUCUUCAAACAAUUAACUACUCCUUCCGAUCCAUAUUAUUCGUUGCUCAAACAGAUGUAUCUAGACGUAUUUCAGUGCUAGAUACAUUCGUUUGAAUGACAAGUAAUAUAGAUCGGAGGGACUAGUAUUUUGAGAUUGUCCUAGAGAAGUCUUGCUACAGCUAGACAAAUCACACAUGAAAAUUGACAAUUAUCAAUCUUGAUAUAACAGGAAAUAAUCCGGAACAUAAUAAAUAAAUGGCAUGAUAUAAGCCUAUAACCAUAAUAAGUGUCACAACAUAGCUCAGCAAGUCCGUUGAACAAUAAAAUUAAGGUUUGUCUCAAAACAUGCAGGAGUCACACUCACAACUUACAACCAAGGAAUGGAACACAAUUGCAAGCAAAAACAGAAAGGUAACAUGAACCUAAUUUGAAUUUCACCUUGGGACAACUCAUUAGUGUCCCUAUCAAUUUAUCAUGAACAUGUUAUUCCACUAUUUUUACCCUAAAUGAUUAGGGCAUGUACAGUACCCUAGUAUCACACAAAAUUUAUGUGUGCUUGAAACAAGCAAAUAUAGAACAUGUCCUAGAUCAGUAGGCCAUAUAUUUCAAAAUUCGUUUGUAAGAAAUUAGAUUGCUAGCAUCAUGACAACAAGACACCAGCUGGAAAAUGGAAAGUUCCUGCAGAAAGCGGUCUAAUAGACCGCCUGAUCCCUAAAUAACUACCGUACGAUUGUCUUAAAACAAACACGACUCAAGACAAGCAUUCAGUUCGACCAUUUCAUGGCACGCAUAUCUAUUUUGGGAUGAUUUUGGCAUUUGAACCUCCGCUUGCACAACUCUAACCUAGGUGGAAACCUUCAAAGUGUCUUAUCGUACACGCUAUGCAUACUGUUUCAGUGCAAGAGCACCAUCUACAAAACAAUCUACAAAGUCCUAACCUCACAUCAUUGUUUGAACUCAUGCAACUCAGGCCCACUCCUAAAAUGCAAGUAGUGAUCCAAACGUUCUUAUAUUUCUUUACAGAGGGAGUAUAUAUUUCCUCACAUGAAGAUCUUUAUAUAGAACUCCAAGCUAACACUUCUAAAAACAACCAAGCUAACACUUCUAAAACAACCAAGCUAACACUUCUAAAAUAUGCAAGAACGAUGAGACUAGGAUGUCGCUGGCUAUCUACUAGGAGCCUUUGUAGUAUCCACAAGCACAAGCAAACGUGCAUCUGAAGUUGCCCUGUCCAAUCACAAGAACUCAGGUGCACUCUAAGCUAACAUUCCUACUGAUUUCAUCCACUCUGAAUACCUAAACCCAUGUAAAUCCGGGUGUAGUAAGCUAAAAUGACCGAAAAAUUCUGAACCGGAAGAUUUCGGUUCAACAUGAGAGGAGUAGCUAAAUGACUACGAGGGGGAACGGGCGGAGAAGAAUUACGAUGGGGAAAUCGAGGGGCGAGCGCCGCGUAAUCUUCUCCUCGUCAGGGGCCACGCACACCACGAGCGAGUCCCACCUGCGCCGCGUCCUCGCCGGGACCGCCGCCCGCGCGGCGAAGACGCCUCUGGAUUCCGAGGCGGAGACGCCGAGAGCGCCCGGCGCCGCCACCGGCGCGGCGGCCGGCGCUAAGAGGCACCACGCGGACGCCAUGGGGAGAGGUCAAGAUAGCUUAAGGGUAAGGCGCUUCCGGCUUAGGGCUCUCCUGGGUGGAGGCCGGAGAAGUGGAGAAGUCGGGAUGGAAUUUGGGUUUCCCCUUCGUGUGGUUUGGUCGAGUUGCGGCUCCUACCACCCUGCUACCGUCGGCUCUCUGAGAGACUGAGACUGCCUCUUCGAGUGAUAAGAGUCGGUCCCGUCCCGUGUGCAGCUGAGCUGAGCUGAGCUGAGCUGACUCCCUCCGUUCAGUAAUAUAAAAACGUUGUUGACAUCGUAUUAAUAUAAAAAGUGAUCUUAUAUCAUGAGACCGAGGAAGUAUAUUUUGGAGUAAUAUAUAUUAUUUCUUUUCCAAUAUUAAAUUAAAAAGACACAUAUGAAUUUUUUGUUCCAUUGUAUGUAAGCGAGAAGAUGCUAGCGGCUACGAUCUACGAAGCAAAUCGUCGUCUCAGGAAAAACAUGAUAAGAACAUGUUGGAGCUUCAAAGAUAACCGAUCAAAUCCCGAAAGGCCCCUGAAAGACACGACUUCAUACGUCCUCCGCUAGUGCAAAGCACAACAAUGGAACAAGGAUGGUGUUAGAACUAAUGUGAGGUGCAUAUCGAUCUAUUGAGGAUCAAGCAAUCACAAGAGGAACGAAACCGAAAUUCAUUAACAAGGUUCAUCAAACAUCGACUACAUCCCUGGGGUCUCCCUACGGACGCUUCUCCUCGUUGCUACCACUAUAGUACCACACAACAACCACUCAGACGCCGACACGCGUUUGUUGUGGAACGUUGCAUGGAAAACAAAAAAAAUUCUACGCACACGCAAGACAUAUCCAUGGCGAUGAGAUUGUAUCCACAUACCCUUGUAGAUUGCUAAGAGGGGAGCGUUAAGAAACGCGGUUGAUGUAGUCGAACGUCUUCGUGAUGCAAAUUGCAAUCAGUCCAACGAACUCCGUCCUGAUCUACGGACGACACCUCCACGUUCAGCACACGUACAACUCGAUGACGAUCUCCGCCUUCUUGAUCCAGCAAGAGGGGCGGAGAGGUAGAUGAGUUCUCCGGCAGCACAACGUCGUGGUAGUGGUGAACUAAUUCAGCACGGCUUCGCCAAGCUCUGCUAAACUAAUCUAGAGAAGAAAACGAUCUAGAGAGAAAGAGGGCAGCAUGUGGCUUAUUAGGGUUAGGGCUGCUCUCAAAUCCUCUAGUAUAUAUAGGGGGGGGGGGAGGGGAGGAGGCAUCUAAAUAACCCUCCAAGGGUUCGGCCGAAUAGGUGGAGAUGGAAGAGUCCACCUCCAAUCCUACUCCAAGUAGGAUUCCUCUCCUACUUGGAAACCUCCCCUCCUUUGGGAUUUUUUCCUUCCCCCACCUCUUGGUCGCAUGGGCCCCUUGGGGCUGGCUCGGCCAGCCCACUAAGGGCUGGUGUGCCACUCCUAAAGCCCAUGUAGUCUCCCGGCGUGGGUGAUCCCUCCCGAUGGCCCUCCCGGCAUUUCUGGUACACUACCGAAAAUACACGAAACUUUCUCGGUGACCAAAAUGGGACUUUCUAUAUAUCAACCUUUACCUCUGGACCAUUCCGGAGCUCCUCGUGAUGUCCGGAUCUCAUUCGAGACUCCGAACAACUUUCAGUUACCAAUACACAUAACUCAAUAAUACCGAAACGUCACCGAACCUUAAGUGUGCAGACCCUACAGGUUCGAGAACCAUGUAGACAUGACCUGAGACACUCUCCGGUCAAUAACCAAUAGCGCGACCUAGAUGGCCAUAUUGGCUCCUACAUAUUCUACGAAGAUCUUUAUCGGUUGAACCUCUAUGUCAAGGAUUCAGUUAAUCUCGUAUGUUGUUCCCUUUGUCCAUCGGUAUGUUACUUGCCCGAGAUUCAAUCGAUGGUAUCUCUAUACCUAGUUCAAUCUCAUUACUGGCAAGUCUCUUUACUUGUUUCGUAAUACAUAAUCCCGUGGCUAACUCUUUAGUCACAUUUCUUGCAAGGCUUAUUGUGAUGUUGUAUUACCGAGUGGGCCCCGAGAUACCUGUCCGUCAUACAGAGUGACAAAUCCCAGUCUUGAUCCAUGUUAACUCAACGGGCACCUUCGGAGAUACCUGUAGAGCACCUUUGUAGUCACCCAGUUACGUUGCGAAAUUUGAUACACACAAGGUAUUCUUCCGGUGUCAGUGAGUUACAUGAUCUCAUGGUCAUAGGAACAUAUACUUGACAUGCAGAAAAACAGUAGCAAUAAAACGACACAAUCACAUGUUACGUUCAUAGUUUGGGUCUUGUCCAUCACAUCAUUCUCCUAAUGAUGUGACCCCAUUAUCAAGUAACAACACUUGUCUAUGGCCAAGAAACCUUGACCAUCUUUGAUCAAUGAGCUAGUCAACUAGAGGCUUACUAGGGACAGUGUGUUGUCUAUGUAUNNNNNNNNNNNNNNNNNNNNNNNNNNNNNNNNNNNNNNNNNNNNNNNNNNNNNNNNNNNNNNNNNNNNNNNNNNNNNNNNNNNNNNNNNNNNNNNNNNNNNNNNNNNNNNNNNNNNNNNNNNNNNNNNNNNNNNNNNNNNNNNNNNNNNNNNNNNNNNNNNNNNNNNNNNNNNNNNNCGCCUCUAGGGCAUAUUUCCAACAGUCUCCCACUUGCACUAGAGUCAAUAAUCUAGCUCACGUAACUAUGUGAUUUACAAUGUAACGAAUCUAACACUACAUGUUUCGCUCGUGGAAGCGGUUUAGUCAACGGGUCUACAACUUUCAGAUCUAUGUGCACUUUGCAAAUAUUUAUGUCCUCCUCCGUGAUGUAAUCGCGGAUAGAAUUGAAGCGUCGCUUUAUGUGUCUGCUCCUCUUGUGAAACCUUGGGUCCUUGGCUAGAGCAAUGGCACCAAUGUUGUCACAAAACAGAAUCAUUUGAUCCAGUGCACUGGGCACAACUCCAAGAUCUAUCAUGAACUGCUCUAUCGAGACACCUUCUUUAGUCGCCUGUGCAGCAGCUAUGUACUUUGCUUUGCAUGUAGAAUCAGCUACCACGCUUUGCUUGGAACUGCACCAUCUUACCGCACCCCCAUUAAUAAGAAAUACAUAUCCGGUUUGUGACUUAGAGUCAUCCGGAUGAGUGUCAAAUCUUGCAUCGACGUAACCCUUUACGACGAGCUCUUUGUCACCUCCAUAAACGAGAAACAUUUCCUUAGUCCUUUUCAGGUACUUCAGAAUAUUCUUGACCGUUGUCCAGUGCUCCAUUCCAGGAUUACUUUGAAACCUUCCCGCCAUACUUAUGGCAAGGCUGACAUCAGGUCUUGUGCACAGCAUUGCCUGCAUGAUAGACCCUAUGGCUGAAGCAUAAGGGACGACACUCAUCUUUUCUCUAUCUUCCGUAGUUACUAUCAUUGAGUCUUACUUAACUUUAUACCUUGUAACGCAUGCAAAAACCCCUUCUUGGACUGUUCCAUGUUGAAAUUCUUCAAAACUUUAUCAAGGUAUGUGCUCUAUGAAAGUCCUAUCAAGCGUCUUGAUCUAUCUCUAUAGAUCUUGAUGCCCAAUAUCUAAGCAGCUUCUCCGAGGUCCUUCACUGAAAAACUUUUAUUCAAGUAAUCCUUUACGCUUCCCAAAAGUUCUAUAUUGUUUCCAAUCAGCAAUAUGUCAUCUACAUAUAAUAUUAGAAACGCAAUAGAGCUCCCUGUUGGAAAUAUGCCCUAGAGGCAAUGAUAAAAUAGCUAUUAUUAUAUUUCCUGUUUCAAGAUAAUCGUUUAUUAUCCAUGCUAUAAUUGUAUUGAAUGAAAGCAUAGAUACAUGUGUGGAUAUUUAGACAAAACAAUGUCCCCAGCAAGCCUCUAGUUGGCUAGCCAGUUGAUCAAGGAUGGUUAAGGUUUUCUGACCAUACGCAAGUGUUGUCACUUGAUAACUGGAUCACAUCAUUAGGAGAAUCAUGUGAUGGANNNNNNNNNNNNNNNNNNNNNNNNNNNNNNNNNNNNNNNNNNNNNNNNNNNNNNNNNNNNNNNNNNNNNNNNNNNNNNNNNNNNNNNNNNNNNNNNNNNNAAUGAAGGAAACCAUUUAUUUUAUACUCUUGGCAUUUUAAAUAAAUGCAAAAAGCUACUGGUUUCAAGUUUAAAAUUUGAAAUCAGAAACUUUAAGUUUUCAAGAAUGUUGAAAACUUUAGGAAUGGUUGGAUACAUUCCAACUAAUAUUCUGGUGUGUUCAAAAUGUUUUUACAAACUAUUUUGGAGCUGAAAUAAAUAGCAAAACAAUAGUUAGCAAAACAGAAACAAAAACAGAAAAGAAAUAAGAGAAAGGAAUGGCUCACCUCUAUCUGUCGCAGGCCCAGCCCACCAGGGGCUCCCCGGUCAUCUUCCUCCUCCUGCCAGUAGGCAGGGGAGAAGAUGAGCACGGCGGCCAAGCCCGGCCACCUCCUGCCUGCCUUCUCGCUGCUGGAGGCCUCCAGGAGUGCCAGCGCGACGCCGGUGCCUUCUUAUCCUCCUCCCCGCGGCUCUGUCCUCUCCCCUAGGCCUCUCGAUCCCCUUCCCCUCUCGGAUCUCUCUCNNNNNNNNNNNNNNNNNNNNNNNNNNNNNNNNNNNNNNNNNNNNNNNNNNNNNNNNNNNNNNNNNNNNNNNNNNNNNNNNNNNNNNNNNNNNNNNNNNNNCUAACGUGGCAAAAGCAUUUGAAGCAUUUGAUCCUAAUGCAAUAAGUAAGUGCAGGAUCAGGAACAUGGGAUUUAUCGGGACGAUCAAAAUGGUUGCUUGCCUUGUUGCUCAGAGGAGUGACAAUAUCCGUCAGACGGAUAUUCUGUGGAAUCCGGGGGAGCGGAGCCUACCGAAAGAAAUGACAACAAUCAAUAUCAAGCAUAUGCAAUCAAGAUGAUGCAUGAGCAUGGCAUGAGAAUGCAAGGUGAUAUACUAUUAAAACUAACAUGUAUUAGGUUUGAAGUUGAUUUGAAUCACAUUCAAAUAUCACUUCAAACGAGGUAUUCUCGGAUACCAUUUUAAUUGAUUCGACCUGAUGCUCAGAUCAACUCGCUUUUAACAUGCAUGGGAUGACAUGUUAGGUUGCUGGUUUGUAAUUAGGACAGUGUUUGAUCAUGUCAUUUAUAGUGAAAUUUAAAUAUUUUCCAAAUUCCAUCUACAAAGUAAUUAUAAGAAUUAACUUAUUCAUUAAUAUACAUGUUUGGGUUCUGCAACAUUUUCAAACAUGUUUGAAAAUGACAUNNNNNNNNNNAUUUGAUCAUGUCAAACAUGGUGAAAUUUAAAUAUUUUCCAUAUUCCAUUUAUAAAGUAUUUAUAAGAAUUGACUUAUUCAUUAAUCUACCUGUUUGGGUUCUGUAACAUUUUCAAACAUGUUUGAAAAUGACAUAUUCNNNNNNNNNNGAUACUUUUUCAUAUUUAAAUUAUUUUCAUUGGAGUUACAGAUUAAUUUCUAUGAAUUUUAGAAGUUUUAAAGAUUUCUGGAAUUAUUUUUAUACUGGAAAACCCCUUUAUUGCGUCAUUACUGCGUCAUCAUGGCGUCAGCAGGUCAACUAACCUGUUCAGGUCAAACCUGACAGGGGGGACCCACUGGUCAGUGUCUCAGGGGCUAAUCCCGCGCUGACCAGCCCCUAAGUGGGUUUGACUUNNNNNNNNNNNNNNNNNNNNNNNNNNNNNNNNNNNNNNNNNNNNNNNNNNNNNNNNNNNNNNNNNNNNNNNNNNNNNNNNNNNNNNNNNNNNNNNNNNNNAUAUAUAUAGGGGGGAGGGGCUGCGCCCUCCUGAGGGUUUCCCUCUCCUGGGAGGGGCGGCAACCCUAGAUGGGAGGAGGUGCGACGGCCAGGAGGGGAGGAGGGGUGGCGCACCCUUCUGGUGGGCCUUAGGCCCACCUGCACCAGGGUUUCCCCCCUCUCCCCUCUUCUUGCGCCAUGGGCUGAGUGUGGGGGCGCACCAACCCACCUAGGGGCUGGUUCCCUCCCGCACUUGGCCCAUCUAGCCUCUCGGGGUGGUGGCCCCCUUCCGGUGGACCCCCGGGGCCACUUCCGGUGGUCCCGAUGGUCCCAGUACGUUACCGGCGACGCCCGAAACACUUCCGGUGUCCAAAACCAUCCGUCCUAUAUAUCAAUCUUUACCUCCGGAUCAUUCCGGAGCUCCUCGUGACGUCCGGGAUCUCAUCCGGGACUCCGAACAACUUUCAGUAACCUUGUAUAACAAUUCCCUAUAAUACUAGCGUCAUCGAACCUUAAGUGUGUAGACCCUACGGGUUUGGGAGAUAGGCAGACAUGACCGAGACACCUCUCCGGCCAAUAACCAUCAGCGGGGNNNNNNNNNNUCUGGAUACCCAUGGUGGCUCCCACUUGCUCCACGAUGAUCUCAUCGGAUGAACCACGAUGUCAAGGAUUCAAUCAACCCCGUAUACAAUUCCCUUUGUCUGUCGGUAUAGAACUUGCCCGAGAUUCGAUCGUCGGUAUACCUAUACCUUGUUCAAUCUCGUUACCGGUAAGUCUCUUUACUCGUUCCGUAGCACGUCAUCGUGUGACUAACUCCUUAGUCACAUUGAGCUCAUGAUGAUGUUCUACCGAGUGGGCCCAGAUAUACCUCUCCGUCACGCGGAGUGAAAAAUCCCGAUCUCGAUUCGUACCAACCCAACAGACACGUUCAGAGGUACCCGUAGUGCACCUUUAUAGUCACCCAGUUACGUUGUGACGUUUGAUACACCCAAAGCACUCCUACGGUAUCCCAGAGUUGCACAAUCUCAUGGUCGAAGGAAAAGACACUUGACAUUAGAAAAGCUUUAGCAUACGAACAAUACGAUCUAGUGCUAUGCUUAGGAUUGGGUCUUGUCCAUCACAUCAUUCUCCCAAUGAUGUGAUCCCGUUAUCAAUGACAUCUAAUGACCAUGAUCAGGAAACCAUGAUCAUCUAUUGAUCAACGAGCUAGCCAACNNNNNNNNNNCGAUUGGGUCUUGUCCACAUCAUUCUCCCAAUGAUGUGAUCCCGUUAUCAAUGACAUCUAAUGCCCAUGAUCAGGAAACCAUGAUCAUCUAUUGAUCAACGAGCUAGCCAACUAGAGGCUUUCUAGGGACACAUUGUGAUCUAUUUAUUCACACAUGUAUUACUGUUUCCUGUUAAUACAAUUAUAGCAUGAACAAUAGACGAUUNNNNNNNNNNNNNNNNNNNNNNNNNNNNNNNNNNNNNNNNNNNNNNNNNNNNNNNNNNNNNNNNNNNNNNNNNNNNNNNNNNNNNNNNNNNNNNNNNNNNCUUAAGAAGAUGACAUGAUGUAGAGGGAUAAUCUCAAACCAAUGAUGAAAACCCNNNNNNNNNNAACAAACAGAGUAACGCCUCAAUCAAGAUGACAUGAUGUAGAGGGAUAAAUUCAUGCAAUCGAUAUAAACCCCAUCUUUUUACCCUUGAUGGCAACAACACAAUGCGUGCCUCGNNNNNNNNNNNNNNNNNNNNNNNNNNNNNNNNNNNNNNNNNNNNNNNNNNNNNNNNNNNNNNNNNNNNNNNNNNNNNNNNNNNNNNNNNNNNNNNNNNNNNNNNNNNNNNNNNNNNNNNNNNNNNNNNNNNNNNNNNNNNNNNNNNNNNNNNNNNNNNNNNNNNNNNNNNNUAUAGAUCAAGUUGGCCAAACGAAACCCACAACUCGAAGAGAAUUACAAGGAUAUGAAAUCAUGCAUAUAAGAGAUCAGAAGAAACUCAAAUAAGAUUCAUAGAUAAUCUGAUCAUAAAUCCACAAUUCAUCAGAUCUCGACAAACACACCGCAAAAGAGGUUACAUCGGAUAGAUCUCCAUGAAGAUCAUGGAGAACUUUGUAUUGAAGAUCCAAGAGAGAGAAGAAGCCAUCUAGCUACUAGCUAUGGACCCGAAGGUCUGUGGUGAACUCCUGCUAGGUGUUGAUGAAGAAGCCCUCCGUGUUCGAAUCCCCCUCCGGCAGGGCACCAGAACGUGCCCCAGAUGGGAUCUUGCGGAGACAGAAGCUUGCGGCGGCGGAAAAGUAUUUUCGUGGCUCUCUCCCGUGGUUUCAGAUUUUUUGGGGAUUUAUAGGUGGAAGAAGUAGGGCAAAGGAGCCACGGGGGGCCCACAAGCCUGCUAGGCGCGCCCCCCAGGCCGCGGUUAGGGGGCUUGUGGCCUCCCCCGGGACCCUUUGCCUUGGUUCUCUAGCUCCCUGCGUAUCUUCUGUUCCGGAAAAAAAAAUCUUUUCGGAGGUUUUAUUCCGUUUGGACUCCGUUUGAUAUUCUCCUCUGAAAAAGGUCAAAAACACGGAAAAAUAGGAACUGGCACUGAGUUAAUAAGUUAGUCCCAAAAGAUAUAAAAUGCAUACAAAACAUCCAAAGUUUGACAAGAUAAUAGCAUGGAACCAUCAAAAAUUAUAGANNNNNNNNNNUGUAUCAAGCAUCCACAAGCUUAACUCCUGCUCGUCCUCGAGUAGGGAAGUGAUAGAGACUGAAUUUUUUAUGUGGAAUGCUACCUAGCAUAUUUGUCCUUUGUAACUUCUUUCAUGCAACAUGAAUGUUCAGACCCGUAAGAUUCAAAACAAUAGUUUGCUAUUGGCAUGAAAACAAUAAUACUUCAAGCAAACUAGCAAGGUAAUCAUGAACUUUCGAAAUAACAAGGCCAAAGAAAGUUAUCCCUACAAAAUCAUAUAGUCUGGCUAUGCUCCAUCAUCCCCACACAACGAAUUUAAAUCAUGCACAACCCCGGUAUUCGCCAAGUAAUUGUUUUCGCACUUUUACUUUCUCGAACCUUUUUCAACUCUCACGCAAUACAUGAGCGUGAGCCAUGGAUAUAGCACUAUAGGUGGAAUAGAGUGUGGUGGAGGUUGUGAGGCAAAAAGGAGGAGAUGGUCACAUCGACUCGGCGUAUCAAAGGGCUAUGGAGAUGCCCAUCAAUAGAGAUCAAUGUGAAUGAGUAGGGAUUACCAUGCAAUGGAUGCACUUAGAGCUAUGAGUGUGUGAAAGCUCAAAAGGAGAAUAGUGGGUGUGCAUCCAACUUGCUUGCUCACGAAGACCUAGGGCAAUUUUGAGGAAGCCCAUCAUUCGAAUAUACAAGCCAAGUUACAUAAUGAAGAUUCCCACUAGUAUAUGGUGGUGACAAAACAAGAGGCUCUCAAUCAUGAAGAACAUGGUGCUAUUAUGAAGCACAAGUGUGGANNNNNNNNNNUUCUUUCUCUCUCUCUCUCUCUUUUUGGGGCUCUUCGGCCUCUUUUCAUUUUUUUUCCUUUUUUUUGGUGGGCAUAUUUGGCCUCUUUUCAUUUUUCCUGACAUGGGACAAUGCUCUAAUAAUGAUGAUCAUCACACUUUAUUUACUCACAGCUCAAUGCUUAGAACGAUGAUGACUCUAUAGGAAAUGCCUCUGGUAGUGUACCGGGAUGUGCAACGAUCUAGCUUGGCGUAGGACGUUGAAACAUCUCACUAGCUAUCUUACGAUCGUGCAAUGGCAAUAUGUAAGUGACGACACAAGUCAUGAGACGGAAUGGUGGGAGUUGCAUGGCAAUAUAUCUCGGAAUGGCUAUGAAAAGGCCAUGAUAGGUAGGUAUGCUGGCUGUUUUGAGGAAGGUCUAUGGUGGUUUUGUGUAUCGGCAAAAGUUGCGCGGCAUUAGAGAGGCUAGAAAUGGUGGAAGGUGAAAGUGCAUCUAUACCAUGGACUCCCAUUAGUCAUGAAGAACUCACAUACUUAUUGCGAAAGUUUUUAUUAGUAAUCAGAACAAAGUGCUAAAUGCAUACUCCUAGGGGAAGGGUUGGUAGGUGUUAACCAUCGCGCGUUCCCGACCGCAACACAAAGGAUGACAAUCAAUAAAUCAAUUAUGCUUCGACUUCCUAACAUAGCGAUUCACCAUACGUGCAUGUUACGGGAAUCACUAACUUCAACACAAGUAUUUCUAGAUUCACAACACCCUACUAACAUGACUCUAAUAUUACCAAAUCCAUGUCUCAAAACUAAUUGAGAGGAAUCAAACUUCUCUUUCUAAUCAAUGCACAUGAAUAUGGAAGUUUUUAUUGUAUCCUCUUUGGAUGCCUAUCAACUUUAGGACUACUUUCAUAGCACAAGCCAACUACCCACCUACUCAAAGAGAGCACUCUCAAAAAGAUAUAAGUGAAGAUCGAGAGUUCUUAUUUAUCCAAAAUAUGACACUACCGUGCUCUAAAAAGAUCUAAGUGAAGCACUUAGAGCAAAGUUAUCUAGCUCAAAAGAUAUAAGUGGAGCAGAUGCGAGCUAAAUUGCCUAACUCAAAAGAUAUAAGCGAAGCUCAAUGAGUAUUCUAGCAAAUUCACGAUGAGUGCAUGUAUCUCUCAAAAGAUGUGCAGCAAGGAUGAUUGUUACACAACAAAAAGAAAAGACUCCUAUAAUACACGACGCUCCAAGCAAAACACAUAUCAUGUGGUGAAUAAAAAUAUAGCUCCAAGUAAUGUUACCGAUGGAUUGAAGACGAAAGAGGGGAUGCCUUCCCGGGGCAUCCCUAAGCUUAGGCUUUUUGGUGUCCUUGAAUUUGGCUUGGGAUGCCUUGGGCAUCCCCAAGCUUGAGCUCUUUCCACUCCUUAUCUCUUUCUCCAUGAGAACAUCACCCAAAACUUGAAAACUUCACAACACAAAACUUNNNNNNNNNNNNNNNNNNNNNNNNNNNNNNNNNNNNNNNNNNNNNNNNNNNNNNNNNNNNNNNNNNNNNNNNNNNNNNNNNNNNNNNNNNNNNNNNNNNNACGCAUCACUUUGCGGUCUCACGCACGGUUAAUCCCAUGGCUGUAGCCUAACCUUAGCCGGGACCGUUUGCGCCUUUUGACUCACGUAUGCAAUUGUGUCGCUAGCAUUCCAAUGUCAAAGAACCCGGAUCGACAAGUCUAGUCAUAAACCAAAGUGGCAGUACCGCACAAGGACAGGCAUACAUGACCCAACAAAGCAGGUGUCGGUCACCAGCGAAUGUAGACGAGUCGUAGCAAGCUACAAGGACUCCAUUACAUCGCGUGACAUUUCCAAAGGGGACAGACACAGCAGCUAAGAAGGACACAUGCCGGUCAACCAAUGUGUCCGGAGCAGUAGCGAGCUACCAUGGCUCGUUGGNNNNNNNNNNUCAGCUAAGAAGGACACAUGCCGAUCAACCAAUGUGUCCGGAGCAGUAGCGAGCUACCAUGGCUCGUUGGAUNNNNNNNNNNGCAGCUAAGAAGGACACAUGCUGGUCAACCAAUGUGUCCGGAGCAGUAGCGAGCUACCAUGGCUCGUUGGAACACAAAGGGGCAUUUCCCUGUAAGGAGUGCUACUAAAGUUCACGACUAGGUAAUCGAACCCCAUACAUAUCAAGUACGACAGACGUACGCAUGGCAUACCGAUAUGUAUAGAUACAUCGAUGGCAUCACAACAUAACCAUAAACAUACAAGCUUUAUUUAAGAGGCUCGGAAGAGCCACACACAUAAUAUUACACAGUAAGCGUCUCACGACCCAUAAUAGGAGUCAUUCAGUUACAAGCCAGCGGAAGUGUUUAAAACUGUCUGAGUACAGACAGGUGCAACUAGAAGGCACAUGGCCUGACUAUACUACAGACCCAACCUAGNNNNNNNNNNAGAAGAGCCACACACAUAAUUUUACACAGUAAGGGUCUCACGACCCAUAAUAGCAGUCAUUCAGUUACAAGCCAGCGGAAGAAUUUAAAACUAUCUGAGUACAGACAGGGCAACUAGAAGGCACAUGGCCUGACUAUACUACAGACCCAACCUAGGGCCAGAUCGUAGCUGGGACACUAGGGUCAUUAGCAACCUCUGCAACAUUUAUUAAGCAAAUAUGAGUACGGAGGUACUUAGCAAGACUUUAGGAUAACUAUCUACUCAUGCAAUGUAUCAAUAAGGUAUUGUGGGGUUUCAUGCGGAAAGCCAGCAUUUGACUCGUGGCUAGACAACUUGCAUUUUUUUAAAUAAUUUUGACAACUUGUUUUCUCGCACUCGAGUCCACUAACACCACAACAAUACUCUAUCGUGGAAUCAUUCCGUCUCCAUACGGAAAUGCCGUCCACGACACUCACGCUUAUCUUGACAAUUUUAUGAGUAGACAUUGAAGUUAUCUAUGAACAACAUAUGUCUCCAAGUAGUCCAUAUCCGCAGACGCAGCUAUUCGAAUAGAUCAUAACCCUACAGGGGUGUACUUCGUCACACACGCUCUCGCCACUUAUCGCCAUGUGCACGUCCUGCACCUCGGGAACCUUCAAGCGGAAGCCCAGCGAGGGAGUCGGCCACGACCGUUAACCACGUUAAUACCUAGUCCAGGUUUAUCGCCUAUCUGAGAGUAACCCGUACGGAAGUCCGGCCAAGGUUUCCGCCACGGCCUCAAACGAUGUGCGCAGGGUUCCCAAGCCCACCAUCCGGGUGCCACUUGNNNNNNNNNNUAGCGAGGGAGUCGGCCACGACCGUCAACCACACUAGUACCUAGUCUAGGUUUAUCGCCUAUCUGAGGGUAACCCGCACGAAAGUCCGGCCGAGGUUUCCGUCACGGCCCCAAACGAUGUGCGCAGGGUUCCCAAGCCCACCAUCCGGGUGCCACUUGGUACACCGUGCCACUGCCUACCGCAUCACAGCCCACCUCUCAGGUCAGCACCAUGCACGGCCUCCAGCAUGACUAUGAACACCAGAAACUACUUGCAACUCCUGGACCGAGUACUAAGCGAUUAAUAAGUUGAGCGGGGUCAUAUUUCAGGGCCCAUCAUGUGGUAGUAUCUCGUCUUGGAUUACAUACAUGGAACUCAGUUCCUAAGGACGGUUCCAAUGAAACACCCGCCAUGUACUCCUACAUAGCCUUUCACCGGUACCUUUACCAAAUNNNNNNNNNNNNNNNNNNNNNNNNNNNNNNNNNNNNNNNNNNNNNNNNNNNNNNNNNNNNNNNNNNNNNNNNNNNNNNNNNNNNNNNNNNNNNNNNNNNNAAACCCGUAAGUUUACGGGUAAACGUUUAACCGUAAAAACGUUUAAACCGUUUACGGGGUUACCCCGGUUAAAAAAUUUAAACCCGAAAAACCCGAGGCAAACCGUMMCMAUGUCAUCCCAUGCAUGUUAACAUCAAGUUGAUCUGAGCAUCAGGUCGAAUCAAUUAAAAUGGUAUCCGAGAUACCUCGUUUGAAGUGAUAUUUGAAUGUGAUUCAAAUCAACUUCAAACCUAAUACAUGUUAGUUUUAAUAGUAUAUCACCUUGCAUUCUCAUGCCAUGCUCAUGCAUCAUCUUGAUUGCAUAUGCUUGAUAUUGAUUGUUGUCAUUUCUUUCGGUAGGCUCCGCUCCCCCGGAUUCCACAGAAUAUCCGUCUGACGGAUAUUGUCACUCCUCUGAGCAACAAGGCAAGCAACCAUUUUGAUCGUCCCGAUAAAUCCCAUGUUCCUGAUCCUGCACUUACUUAUUGCAUUAGGAUCAAAUGCUUCAAAUGCUUUUGCCACGUUAGUUGAACCCACUUCCUUUGCAUGGCCUAUCCUUGUCACAGUAAAUAGCCGAACCUUGCAACCUAGCAUACCUGGUAGUUGCUUGAGCCAUGAUGUGUCUUAUCCUGCUAUGCAUGCUAUGCUUAGAGUUGUGUAUGGUCUGUCAUCUUGGAGAUGAACAAAAUUGUGAGAAUGUGUUCGGUAAGCAAAGGUUGUGUGUUGAACCUGAUUUGGUAAAGGUACCGGUGAAAGGCUAUGUAGGAGUACAUGGCGGGUGUUUCAUUGGAACCGUCCUUAGGAACUGAGUUCCAUGUAUGUAAUCCAAGACGAGAUACUACCACAUGAUGGGCCCUGAAAUAUGACCCCGCUCAACUUAUUAAUCGCUUAGUACUCGGUCCAGGAGUUGCAAGUAGUUUCUGGUGUUCAUAGUCAUGCUGGAGGCCGUGCAUGGUGCUGACCUGAGAGGUGGGCUGUGAUGCGGUAGGCAGUGGCACGGUGUACCAAGUGGCACCCGGAUGGUGGGCUUGGGAACCCUGCGCACAUCGUUUGGGGCCGUGACGGAAACCUCGGCCGGACUUUCGUGCGGGUUACCCUCAGAUAGGCGAUAAACCUAGACUAGGUACUAGUGUGGUUGACGGUCGUGGCCGACUCCCUCGCUAGGCUUCCGCUUGAAGGUUGCCGAGGUGCAUGACGUGCACAUGGCGAUAAGUGGCGAGAGCGUGUGUGACGAAGUACACCCCUGCAGGGUUAUGAUCUAUUCGAAUAGCCGCGUCCGCGGAUAUGGACUACUUGGAGACAUAUGUUGUUCAUAGAUAACUUAAAUGGCUACUCAUAAAAUUGUCAAGAUAAGCGUGAGUGUCGUGGACGACAUUUCUGUAUGGAGGCGGAAUGAUUCCACGAUGGGGUAUUGUUGUGGUGUUAGUGGACUCGUGUGCGAGAAAUCAAGUUGUCAAAAUUACUUAAAAUGCAAGUUGUGUAGCCACGAGUCAAAUGCUGGCUUUCCACAUGAAACCCCACCAUCUGGCCCUAGGUUGGGUCUGUAGUAUAGUCAGGCCAUGUGCCUUCUAGUUGCCCUGUCUGUACUCAGAUAGUUUUAAAUUCUUCCGCUGGCUUGUAACUGAAUGACUGCUAUUAUGGGUCGUGAGACCCUUACUGUGUAAAAUUAUGUGUGUGGCUCUUCUGAGCCUCUUAAAUAAAGCUUGUAUGUUUAUGGUUAUGUUGUGAUGCCAUCGAUGUAUCUAUACAUAUCGGUAUGCCAUGCGUACGUGUGUCGUACUUGAUAUGUAUGGGGUUCGAUUACCUAGUUGUGAACUUUAGUAGCACUCCUUACAAGGAAAUGCCCCUUUGUGAUCCAACGAGCCAUGGUAGCUCGCUACUGCUCCGGACACAUUGGUUGACCGGCAUGUGUCCUUCUUAGCUGCUGUGUCUGUCCCCUUUGGAAAUGUCACGCGAUGUAAUGGAGUCCUUGUAGCUUGCUACGACUCGUCUACACUCGCUGGUGACCGACACCUGCUUUGUUGGGUCAUGUAUGCCUGUCUACUGCCACUUUGGAUUAUGACUAGACUUGUCGAUCCAGGUUCUUUGACAUUGGAAUGCUAGCGAGACUAUUGCAUACGUGAGUCAAAAGACACAAACGGUCCCGGCUAAGGUAAGGCUGCAGUCGUGGAGUUAACCGUGCGUGAGACCGCAAAGGAAUGCGAUGUGUUACAGGCUGGAUUCCUAUGGCUUAGGAUCGGGGUCCCGACAGUUCAUAACAUCUGGGGUCGCCGGUGGGGUGGUGCAUCACCUAGCGGUGCAUCAAGGACAUAUUGUUUUUGGACAGCCAUGAGGAUAAGCCUCAGAUUACGGGCCCAGUCAACAAAGUUGCUUCCAUCAUCUUUCGGUUUAGCUUUCUCUAGGAACACAUUAAAAUUAAGGGUUGCUACAGCGCGAGUCAUUGAUCUACAACAUCAAAUUUGAAAAGAUUACUUAGACUAUGUUCAAAAUAAUUGAGUUUAGUUAAUCAUAUUACUAAUAAACUCCCACUCAAAUUGACAUCCCUCUAGUCAUUAGAAUGACAUAUGAUCCAAAUUCACUAACUCAAGUGUGAUCAUCACGUGAGUUAAGUUAGUUUCAAUGGUGAACAUCUCUAUGUUGAUCAUAUCAACUAUAUGACUCAUGUUCUACCUUUAGGUCUCUUGUGUUCUGAGGCCAUGUAUGUACAUGCUAGGCCGGUCAAGUUUAACUCGAGUAUUCCACAUGUGCAACUAUUUUGCACCCGUUGUAUGUGGUCAUAGAGUCUAUCACACCCCAUCAUCACGUGGUGCCUCAAAACGACGAACUGUUGCAACGGUGCACACUCGGGGAGAACACAAUUUUAUCUUGAAAUUUUAGUGAGGGAUCACCUUAUAAUGCUAUCGUCGUCCUAAGCAAAAUAAGUUGCAUAAAAGGAUUAACAUCACAUGCAAAUCAUAAGUGACAUGCUAUAGUGCUACCUCUUGAGCUUGCGUUGGUUUUUCCCUUGAAGAGGAAAGGGUGAUGCAGCACAGUAGCAGUAAGUAUUUCCCUCAGUUUGAGAACCAAGGUAUCAAUCCAGUAGGACUAUCAAGGCAAGUCUCCAAAGUACCUGCGCAAAAAACAGCAACUUGCACCCAAUGCUACAAAGGGGUUGUCAAUCCCUUCACGGUUGAUUGCAAGGUAAGAUCUUAAGGCGGAAGGUGCAACAAAGUAAAAGUGUAAGGCUAAAAAAUAUGGUGUGAAGUAGACACGGGGGCCAUAGUGUUCACUAGAGGCUUCUCUCAUGAUAGCAAAUAUUAUGGUGGGUGAACGAAUUACUGUCGAGCAAUUGAUAGAACCGCGCAAAGUCAUGACGAUAUCUAAGGCAAUGAUCAUACAUAUAGGCAUCACGUCCGAGACAAGUAGACCGAUACUUUCUGCAUCUACUACUAUUACUCCACACAUCGACCGCUAUCCAGCAUGCAUCUAGUGUAUUGAGUUCAUGACGAAUAGAGUAACGCCUUAAGCAAGAUGACAUGAUGUAGAGGGAUAAUCUCAAACCAAUGAUGAAACCCCAUCUUUUUACCCUUGAUGGCAACAACAUGAUGCGUGCCUCGCUACCCCUUCUGUCACUGGGUGAGGUCACCGCACGGUAUGAACCCAAAACCAAGCACUUCUCCCAUUGCAAGAAUCAUAGAUCUAGUUGGCCAGGCAAAACCCACAACUCGAAGAGAAUUACAAGGAUAUGAAAUCAUGCAUAAGAGAGAUCAGAAGAAACUCAAAUAAGAUUCAUAGAUAAUCUGAUCAUAAAUCCAUAAUUCAUCGGAUCUCGACAAACACACCGCAAAAGAAGAUUACAUCGGAUAGAUCUCCAUGAAGAUCAUGGAAAACUUUGUAUUGAAGAUCCAAGAGAGAGAAGAAGCCAUCUAAUUACUAGCUAUGGACCCGUAGGUCUAUGGUGAACUACUCACGCAUCAUCGGAGAGGUCAUGGUGUUGAAGAAGCCCUCCGUAUUCGAAUCCCCCUCCGGCAGGGCACCAAAGCGUGCCCCAGAUGGGGAUCUUGCGUGGAUAGAAGCUUGCGGCGGCGGAAAAGUACUUUCGAUGAUCUCCUGAUUUUUUGUGGAAMUUUUCUSGGGGAUAUAUAGGCGCGAAACCCUAAGGGCAAAAGGUAGGUCCUAGGGGGGACCCUACAAGCCUGUGGGCUGCGGCCUCCCCCUGGCCNNNNNNNNNNNNNNNNNNNNNNNNNNNNNNNNNNNNNNNNNNNNNNNNNNNNNNNNNNNNNNNNNNNNNNNNNNNNNNNNNNNNNNNNNNNNNNNNNNNNCGUUCCUAAUGAUAAGAAUGAAUUAAUCCCACAAAGGAUUAUUACUGGCUAAAGGAUGGUGAUAGACUUCCAGAAACUGGAAGAAAGGGCCAAACCCAGGAAAAGACCCAUUUAUCCCUUUGUCGUUUAUCGACCAAAUGCUAGAAAGGCUAUCCAAACACACACACUUCUGCUUUCUAGACGGUUAUUCAGGUUUCUCACAAAUACCUGUUGCACAAUCUGAUCAGGAGAAAACCACUUACACCUGCCCCUUCGGUACCUUUCCCUAUAGACGUAUGCCUUUUGGCUUAUGCAAUGCACCUGCCACCUUUCAAAGAUGUAUGAUGGCUAUAUUCUCUGACUUUUGUGAAAAGAUUGUCGAGGUUUUCAUGGAUGACUUCUCUGUUUACGGGUCUUCCUUUGAUGAUUGCCUCAGCAACCUUGAUCGAGUCUUACAGAGAUGCAGAGAUACCAACCUCGUCUUGAAUUGGGAGAAGUGCCACUUUAUGGGUUAAUGAAGGCAUUGUCUUAGGACACAAAAUCUCUGAAAGAGGCAUUGAGGUUUAUAAGGCUAAGGUUGAUGCAAUUGAGAAAAAUGCCCUUUCCCCACAGAUAUCAGAGGUAUACGAAGUUUCCUAGGUCAUGUUGGUUUCUAUAGAAGGUUCAUUAAAGACUUCUCUAAGAUUUCUAGGCCUCUUACCAACCUCUUGCAGAAGGAUGUUCCUUUUGUUUUUGAUGAGGAUUGUGAGGAAGCUUUCGAAAUACUUAAGAAGGCUUUGAUAACUGCACCUAUUGUUCAACCACCUGACUUGAACUUGCCCUUUGAAAUCAUGUGUGAAGCUAGUGAUUAUGUUGUUGGUGUUGUUCUAGGACAAAGAGUUGACAAGAAGUUGAAUGUUAUUCACUACGCUAGUAAAACUCUAGAUAGUGCCCAAAGAAACUAUGCCACUACGGAAAAGGAGUUUUUAGCAGUCGUGUUUGCAUGUGAAAAGUUCAGAUCUUAUAUAGUUGACUCCAAAGCACUAUUCACUCUGAUCAUGCUGCUAUUAAGUACCUUAUGGAGAAGAAGGACACUAAGCCUAGGAUGAUCACAUGGGUUCUUCUGCUACAGGAAUUUGAUUUGCAUGUCGUUGACCGAAAGGGUGCUGAUAACCCUGUAGCAGAUAACUUGUCUAGGCUAGAGAAUGUCCUUGAUGACCCACUACCUAUUGAUGACAGCUUUCCUGAUGAGCAACUAAAUAUCAUCCGCACUUCACAUAGUGCACCCUGGUAUGCUGAUUACGCAAACUAUAUCGUAGCCAAAUACAUACCACCCAGUUUCACCUAUCAGCAAAAGAAGAAAUUCUUCUUUGAUUUGAGACACUACUUUUGGGAUGAUCCUCACCUUUAUAAGGAAGGAGUAGAUCGUGUUAUUAGAUCGUUGUGUGCCUGAACAUGAACAGGGGCAGAUCCUGCAGAAGUGUCAUUCCGAAGCCUACGGAGGACACCAUGCUGGAGAUAGAACUACUCAUAAGGUAUUGCAAUCAGGUUUCUAUUGGCCCACUCUCUUCAAGGAUGCCCGUAAGUUUGUCUUGUCUUGUGACAAAUGCCAAAGAAUAGGGAACAUCAGUAAGCGUCAAGAAAUGCCUAUGAACUAUUCACUUGUCAUUGAACCAUUUGAUGUCCGGGGCUUUGAUUAUAUGGGACCCUUCCCGAGUUCCAAUGGGUACACUCACAUCUUAGUUGUUGUGGAUUACGUCACUAAGUGGGUAGAAGCUAUCCCCACUAAAAAUGACGAUCACCACACCUCUAUUAAGAUGCUUAAAGAAGUCAUUUUCCCAAGAUUUGGAGUCCCUAGAUAUUUGAUGGCUGAUGGCGGUUCACACUUCAUUCAUGAUGUUUUCCGCAAGAUGCUCGCUAAAAUGAUGUCAACCAUAGAGUUGCAUCUCCUUAUCAUCCUCAGUCUAGUGGUCAAGUGGAGUUGAGUAAUAGGGAGAUCAAAUUGAUCUUACAAAAGACCGUCAAUAGAUCUCGAAAGAAUUGGUCUAGCAAACUUGACGAUGCACUAUGGGCUUAUAGGACUGCUUAUAAGAAUCCCAUGGGCAUGUCGCCGUAUAAAAUGGUUUAUGGUAAGGCCUGUCAUUUACCUCUUGAGCUGGAACACAAAGCUUAUUGGGCAAUCAAAGAGCUCAACUUCGAUUUCAAACUUGCCGGUGAGAAGCGGUUGUUUGAUAUCAGUUCAUUAGAUGAAUGGAGGGCCCAGGCAUAUGAGAAUGCCAAGUUGGUCAAGGAAAAGGUUAAGAGAUGGCACGACAAACGAAUACAGAAACGAGAGUUAAAUGUAGGAGAUUAUGUCCUGCUAUACAAUUCUCGCUUAAGAUUCUUCGCAGGCAAGCUUCUCUCUAAAUGGGAAGGUCCUUAUGUUAUCGAGGAAGUAUAUCAUUCCGGUGCCAUCAAAAUCAAUAACACGGAAGGAAAAUUUCCUAGAGUGGUAAAUGGGCAAAGAAUCAAGCAUUAUAUCUCCGGUACUCCCAUAAAUGUUGAGACCAAUGUCAUCAAUAUCAUAACUCCAGAGGAGUACAUAAGGGAUGUUUAUCGGCCUGUUUCAGACCCUGAAAACGAAGAGGUGUCUGUUUCAGUAAGUAAUUGGACUCCGAAGCUUUUCCAAUAGGAAAUUUCCUCGUUUUGGAAUUUUUGGAAAAUUAGAAAAAUAAAAAACAGUCCAAAGAGUGCACGAGGCGGCCACAAGCUUGGUAGCCGCCACCUACCCCCUUGGUGGCGGCUAGAGGGAUUGUGGGCACCUCGUGUGCCUCCCGGACUCCGUUUUCUUGCGGAGCACUCCUUAUGGUCCAGAAAAAAUCAUUAUAUAUACGCCCGAAGGUUUUGAUCUCCGUAUCACGUGGUUUUCCUCUGUUUUCGUUUCGAGCCUGUUGUCUGCCGCAGAUUUAGGUCAAGAUGUCUUCUCAAGAUUCAGAAGAAGAGAUCUAUGUGGCCGAGGAUCGUGCUAACUCCAGGAUUAAUGGGGACUUGGAACCAUAUGGCUGGACCACUGACGAGGAAGAGGAUUAUGAGCCAAAGGGGAAAGAACAAACGAGUUCCGAUGAAGAGGAGGCUCCUUUACCUCAACCUGCAAACACCCAUGUGGAGUUCAAGAAGUCAAGCCUCCCCAACUCUAGGAAGAAGCCUAAGACCAUAUUUAUCCCCUCUCGUUUCUUGCAGGAGCGUAAGCAGGAACUUUGCCUUAGAGUGUUGAAACUUGAGGAGGAAAAUGACGAUCUGAGGGAGCAGAACUUUUUGCUCAAGUGGAAAUUAGACAAGCUCAAGACUGCUUCAACAACUCCACCACCAUCACCACCAAAGGAAGACAACUAAGCAUUGGUAUGGGAAAUCCCCUUGGCUUUUUCCAAGCUUGGGGGAGUUGCCCUGGUAUCGUAUCACCUUUAUAUCUUUUGCUUUUACCUUUCUUUUAGUUCUUUCCUUUUCAGUUUUUAUUUCUUCUCUUAGAGGAAUAAGUCUUUAGUGUUUAGUUUGAGUCUUUUGCCUUGUGUCUCCCCCGAUGUAUUCGAACUUGCGAGCUAUAUAAUAAAGAGUAUCUCAGUCAAGGGCUUUGCUUUAUGUCGUGAUCAAAAGUAUGAAAAGAACGAUAGCAUGAAAAAUCAUGAGAUGAUCUUAUGGAAAGUGAUAGCUUCACAUAUAACACGUAUGAUGAUUGAAACUUGUUGAGAAUAAAUCAACAUAGACCUCAGUCAUUGUUGCAAUUAAUAAGAAGUAAUAAGCAAAGAGAGGUUCACAUAUAAAUAUAUCAUCUUAGACACUUUUUACAAUUGCGAGCACUCACCAAACUAUUACAUUCUUAGAAGUAGAUGUUGGACAAGGAAGACAACAUAAUGAAUUGUGUUUGCUUGGUUCCAAACAAUGUUAUAUGAUUAGAGAUCCCUUAGCAUGUGACGAUUGCUUCCACCUCAUAUUAGCCAAAACUCCCGCACCAAGUAGAGAUACUACUUGUGCAUCCGUAAACCUUCAACCCAGUUUUGCCAUGAGAGUCCACCAUACCUACCUAUGGAUUUAAUAAGAUCCUUCAAGUAAGUUGUCAUCGGUGCAAGCAAUAAAAUUGAUCUCUAAUAUGUAUGAUCUAUUAGUGUGUGGAAAAUAAGCUUUGUACGAACUUGUGAUGAGGAAGACAUAAAAGCGACAGACUGCAUAAUAAAGUUCUUUAUCACAGGAGGCAAUAUGAAGUGACGUUCCUCCACACUAAGAGGACACGCAUUCAAACCUCAAAAGCGCAUGACAACCUCUGCUUCCCUCUGCGAAGGGACUAUCUUGUACCUUUACUUUUUGCCCUUGUAAGAGUCAUGGUGAUCUUCACCAAUUCCCUAUUUUUGCCUAUGCCUUGGCUACCGUCACAUGCUUGGGAAAGAUCUAUAUUCAUAUAUCAACUUGGAGUUGAGUACCUAUGCUUUAUUAUUGUUGAAUUUACCCUUGAGGUAAAUAGUUAGGAGGCAAAACUAUAAGCCCCUAUCUUCCUCUAUGUCCAGCUAAAACUUUGACACCAUGAGUACCACGUGAGUUGUAACAAUUGUGGAAAAUAAAAGAGAUGAUUGAGUAUGUGGGUUUGCCUUAGAAGCUCUUAUUUGACUCUUUCUGAUGUUAUGAUAAAUUGCAAUUGCUUCAAUGACUUUGGACUGUUGUUGGUUACUUCUCGGUAAGGUUUUUUGCUUCAUACUUUGCUUUGUGAAGAAAUUGUUACUUUCCCAUAAGAAUCUUUAUGAUGUAUUGUUGUUCUAUGUGUGAUCAUGAUGCCUUCAUGUCCAUAUUAAGUUUCAUCGACACCUUCGUCCCUAAACAUGUGGACAUGUUUAGGGAACUUGGUUUUCGCUUGAGGACAAGCGAGGUCUAAGCUUGGGGGGAGUUGAUACGUCCAUUUUGCAUCAUGCUUUCAUGUUGAUAUUUAUUGAUUCAUGGGCUGUUAUAUACCUUUUUGGUACCAUAUCUAUGCCUUUUCUCUCUUAUUUUGCAAGGUUUAUUUGAAGAGGGAGAAUUCAGGUAGCUGGAAUUCUGGACUGGAAAAUGAGCAAAUCUGAGUCCACUAUUCUGCACAACUCCAAAUGCCCUGAAAAUUUACGUGGAAUUUUUGGGGAAUAUAUAAAAAAUACUAAGCGAAAGAAGUACCAAAGGGGAACUACCAAGGCGCCACAAGCCUGGUAGCCGCCACCCCCCUGGUGGCGGCUACAGGGCUUGUGGGCUCCCUGACGGCCCACUGGCCCCCCUCUUUUGCUAUAUGAAGGGUUUCGUUCCAGGAAAAAAAAUCAAUCAGGAGCUUUUUCGUGGUUUCGCCGCCACCACAAGGCGGAACUUGAGCAGAUCCAAUCUAGAGCUCCGGCAGGACGAUCCUGCUGGGGAAACUUCCCUCCCGAAGGGGGAAAUCGUCGCCAUCGUCAUCACCAACACUCCUCUCGUCAGAGGGGAGGCAUCUUCAUCAACAUCUUCAUCAGCACCAUCUCCUCUCCAAUCCCUAGUUCAUCUCUUGUAACCAAUCUCCGUCUCGCGACUCCGAUUGGUACUUGUAAGGUUGCUAGUAGUGUUGAUUACUCUUUGUAGUUGAUGCUAGUUGGAUUACUUGGUGGAAGAGUUUAUGUUUAGAUCCUUGAUGCUAUUCAUUACACCUCUGAUCAUGAUUAUGAUUAUGCUUUGUGAGUGGUUACUUUUGUUCCUGAGGACAUGGUAUAAGUCAUGUUAAAUAGUCAUGUGAAUUUGGUAUUCGUUCGGUACUUUGAUAUGCUAUAUGUUGUCUUUGCCUCUAGUGGUGUUAUGUGAACGUCGACUACAUAACACUUCACCAUACUUGGGCCUAGAGGAAGGCAUUGGGGAGUAGUAAGUAGAUGAUGGGUUGCUGGAGUGACAGAAGCUUAAACCCUACUCUAUGCGUUGCUUCGUAAGGGGCUGAUUUGGAUCCACUAGUUUAAUGCUAUGGUUAGACGUUGUCUUAAUUCUUCUUUCGUAGUUGCGGAUGCUUGCGAGAGGGGGUUAAUCAUAAGUGGGAUGCUUGUCCAAGUAAGGGCAGUAACCAAGCGCCGGUCCACCCACAUAUCAAACUAUCAAAGUAACAAACGUGAAUCACAUGAACAUGACGAAACUAGCAUGACAGAAAUUCCCGUGUGUCCUCAGGAGCGCUUUUCCUCCUAUAAGACUUUGUUCAGGCUUGUCCCUUGCUACAAAAGGGAUUGGGCCACUUGCUGCACCAUUUCUACUACUUGUUACUUGUCACUUUUCGCUUGCUACGUUUCACCUCACUACACCAUCACUUGUUACCGCUACUUUCAGUGCUUGCAGUUAUUACCUUGCUGAAAACCGUUUAUCAGAGCCUUCUGCUUCUUGUUGGGUUCGACACUUACUUAUCGAAAGGACUACGAUUGAUCCCCUAUACUUGUGGGUCAUCAGACAGCAAUGCGGGACUCGUACUUGAUAUUGUGGUCGGCCAGCUGGAGAGCCCACUUGGUGAUGCGGCUAGCCGCGUCCCUGUUGCCCAUGAUCUCCCCAAGGGGAGCGGUGCUCACCACCAUGACUCGGUGCUCCUGGAAGUAGAGCUUGAGCUUCCAGGCCGCCAGGAACACACCAUAUCACAUCUUCUGGUAGUGGGGUAGUUCUGGUUGCAGGCGGACAACACCUUGCUCAAGUAGUAGACCGGCCGCUGGACCGGCUGGGCUCGGCCCGGCUCCGAGCGCUCGACGGCCAUGACGAUGCUGAUGACGCGGCUAGUCGCGAUGAUGUAGAGCAGCAUCAGCUCCUUGUCGGCUGGUGCGACCAGCACCGGCGCUAUAGUCAACGCGCGCUUGGGGCCGCGCAGGGCCUCGUCGGCUUCGUUGCCCCAGACGAACUCGUCUGCCUUCUUGAACACGCGGUAGAGUGGGAGGGCCUUCUCUCCCAGCCGACUGAUGAAGCGGCUGAGCGAGGCAAGGCAGCCGGUGACCUUCUGGAUCCCGGCCAAGUCAGUCGGCCGGGCCAUUCGCUCGAUGGCCCGAAUCUUCUUUGGAUUCUCAUCGAUCCCUCGUUCAAAAACGAGGAAACCAAGGAGCUGACCGGCUCUUACGCCGAACACGCACUUCUCCGGGUCAGCCGGAUUUCGAACUCGUGCAGGCUCGCGAAUGUCUCUACGUAGAUCGUCCAGGAUGGUGCGGCUUUCUUUGGUCUUGACCACAACGUUAUCUACGUAGACGUAUAUGUUGCGGCCAAGCUGCGUGUAGAGGCAUCGCUGCAUGCAGCGCUGGAACGUGGCACCGGCAUUUUUCAGCCCGAACAUCAUUGUAAUGGAGCAAAACGUCCCGAAGGAUGUAACGAAAGCUGCCUUCAGCCCGUUGGUUGGAUUUAGCUUGAUUUGGUAUCACCCUGAAUAGGUGUCCAAGAAGGACAAUAGCUCGCAGUCGCCCGUCGAGUCGAUCACUUGAUCGAUACGGGGCAGAGCAAAUGGAUCCUUGUGGCAUGCCUUGUUUAGGCUCGUGUAAUCGAUACACAUGCGCCAAGUCUUAUUCUUCUUCAGCACCAGGACGGGGUUCGACAACCAGUCCGGGUGGAAUACUUCCAUGAUGAAGCCGGCUGCUAGCAGCCGGGCGACUUCUUCAUUGAUGGUUUUCCGUUCACCUCUCAGAACUAGCGUAGGGGCUACCGGACCGGCUUUGCGUCUGGUCGGACGUCGAGGAAGUGCUCGACGAACUUCCUCAGGACACUCGACAUGUCUUUUGUGGACCAUACAAAGAUAUCCCAAUUCUCACGGAGGAAGUCAACGAGCUUGCUUCCCUAUUUGCUUCUGAGGCCCGGCCCCCGCCAGGACGUACUUGCCGGUGGGGUCAGUCGGGUCCACAGGGACCCUCUUUGUGUCCUUGCCGGUGGCCGGCUGGAACUGGGCCUCCGCAGUCGGCUACUUUAGCCAGGGCUCGGGCAUGGUCGUCGGCUCGUGGGCGAGGGCCACGAGCCAGUCGAUCUGUCGCUGCUUCUCGGCGAUGACGACCGACUCGGCCAGCUUGGAGCCGGCCACAACCCACUCAGAUGACUUCUUGUAGUCGCCGACGACGGUGAUGAUUACGUGUGGGCCUGGCAUCUUAUACAUCUCCAACGUAUCUAAAAUUUAUGAAGUAUUCAUGCCAUGUUUACAAUAAUUCUAUAUCAUUUUGGUAUGAUUUUAUUAGAACUAACCCGGACUGACGCUGUUUUCAGCAGAACUACCGUGGUGUUGUUUUUGUGAAGAAAUAAAAGUUCUCAGAAUGGGCUGAAAAUUUACGGUGAUUUUUUAUGGACCAAAAGAGACCCUCGAAGCACCAGAGCUGGGCCAGGAAGUGACCGAGGAGGCCACAAGCCUGCAGGGCACAACCCCCUAGGUCGCGCCCUUGUGGCUUGUGGGCACCUCGAGCACCGCCUUGACGUGAUUCCAAUGUCAAAUUUUCCAAUAAAUACCAGAACCUCCGAAAAGAAACCUAGAUUGGGAGUCACGCUGUCGCAAGCCUCCAAAGCCAUGAAAAACCCAAUUGGGAGCCCGUUUCGACACCGUGCCGAAGGGGGAAACCAUCAUUGGAGGCCAUCUUCAUCAUCCCAGCGGUCUCCAUGACGAGGAGGGAGUAGUUCACCCUCGGGGCUGAGGGUAUGUACUAGCAGCUAUGUGUUUGAUCUCUCUCUCUCUCUGUCUCGUGUUCUUGAGAUGGCACGAUCUUGAUGUAUCGCGAGCUCUAUUAAUAUAGAUGAAUCAUAUGGAGUUUUCCCUUCUCUAUCUUCUUCUAACGAAUUGAGUUUUCCCUUUGAAGUUUUCUUAUCAGAUUGAGUCUUUAAGGAUUUGAGAACACUUGAUGUAUGUCUUGCGAUGGGAUAUCCGUGGUGACAAUGGGGUGUUCUAUUGAUCCACUUGAUGUAUGUUUUGAUGAUCAACUUGCGGGUUCCGUGACCUUGGGAAUCUAUGCAUAGGGGUUGUCACAUAUUUUCUUCUCAACUUUUCGGUAGAAACUUUGGGGCACUCUUUGAAGUUCCUUAUGUUGGAUUGAACAUGACGAAUCUGAAAUUAUGUGAUACAUAUCAUAUAAUCAAGCCCACGGGUAGUCGAGGUGACAUUAGGGUUUUGGUUGAUGUGUAUCUUAAGGUGUUAUUUUAGUACAAACUCUAGGGUUGUUUGUGACACUUAUAAGGAUAGCUCAUAGGAUUGAUAAAAAAAGAUAACUUUGAGGUGGUUUAGUACCCUACAAUAUUUUCUUCGUUUGUUCUCUACUAUUUGUGACUUUGGAGUGAAUUCUUUGUCGCACGUGAGGGAUUUAUAUAUGAUUCACCUACGUUAAUAUUAUUGAGAGAACUUGCACUAGUGAAAGUAUGGACACUAGGCCUUGUUUCCAAGCAUUUAUACAACAUUUUGCUCGUUGUUUACUAUUUUUUACCUUGCUGUUUUUAUAUUUUCAGAUUACAAAAACCUAUAUAUAUCAUCCAUAUUACACUUGUAUCACCAUCUCUUCGCCGAACUAGUGCACCUAUACAAUUUACCAUUGUAUUGGGUGUGUUGGGGACACAAGAGACUCUUUGUUAUUUGAUUGCAGGGUUGCAUGAGAGAGACCAUCUUCAUCCUACGCCUCCCACGGAUUGAUAAACCUUAGGUCAUACACUUGAGGGAAAUUUGGUACUGCCCUACAAAACUCUAUGCUUGGAGGCCCAACACGAGUCUACAAGAAGAAGGUUGUGUAGUAGAAAUCAAGCUCUUUUCUGGUGCCAAGGCACASAGSGGAUASGUCACAUCCCGNAACGAAGCUCUUUCUAGCACCGUUUCUGGGGAGUGAGUGCUUGAAGGUAUAUCUUUAGAUCUUGCAACUAAUCCUUUAGUUCUUGUUUUCACUAGUUUGGUUUAUAAAUAAACUACAAAAAUGGAAUUGAGGUUNNNNNNNNNNNNNNNNNNNNNNNNNNNNNNNNNNNNNNNNNNNNNNNNNNNNNNNNNNNNNNNNNNNNNNNNNNNNNNNNNNNNNNNNNNNNNNNNNNNNGAGCAUCAUUGAAUUAUCAAUGCCAAGCUAAGGGCAUUAAACAAUAGCGCUUGUUUGGGUAAGGCAACCCAAUGAAUUUAUCUUUUCUUUUUGCUUUUUGUUUUGUCCACACCAUCAUAAUUCUGUUAUGAUUUGUUUUUUGUGUUUGAGCCAAGUAAAACCUUUAUCACUAGUUUUGGUGAUGGUUGUUUGAUCUUGCUGAAAAAGACAGAAACUUUUCGCUCACGAAAUUAUUUUUCAUUCCUAUCCAGAAAGAGAUUUUGAGUUGAUUCUUUUUUGCUUCUCAUUGAUAUGCCAAUUGCCCAAACUUUAAUAAUUUUUCAGAAUUUUUUAGAUACCAGAAGUAUACGAAGUAUACAGAUUGCUACAGAUUGGUCUGUUUUUGACAGAUUCUAUUUUGUUGUGUUGAUUGCUUAUUUUGAUGAAACUAUGGAUAGUAUCGGGGGGUACUAGCCAUGGGAAAGUGAGAAUACAGUAAUGUAACACCAAUAUAAAUAGAAAUCAAGUUUGCUACAGUACCUAAAGAGGUGGUAGUUUGUUUCUUGUGCUAAUGAUAUCACGAGUUUCUGUUUAAGUUUGUGUUAGUGAAGGUUUUUCAAGGUUUUGGGUGAAUGUUCUCGAUGGACAAUGGGAUGAAGAAGUGGAAAGAACUCAAGCUUGGGGAUGCCCAAGGCAUCCCAAGCCAAAUUCAAGGACACAAAAGCCUAAGCUUAGGGAUGCCCCGGGAAGGCAUCCCCUCUUUCGUCUUCAAUCCAUCGGUAACAUUACUUGGAGCUAUAUUUUUUAUUCACCACAUGAUAUGUGUUUUGCUUGGAGCGUCGUGUAUUAUAGGAGUCUUUUCUUUUUGUUGUGUAACAAUCAUCCUUGCUGCACAUCUUUUGAGAGAUACAUGCACUCAUCGUGAAUUUGCUAGAAUACUCAUUGAGCUUCGCUUAUAUCUUUUGAGUUAGGCAAUUUAGCUCGCAUCUGCUCCACUUAUAUCUUUUGAGCUAGAUAACUUUGCUCUAAGUGCUUCACUUAGAUCUUUUUAGAGCACGGUAGUGUCAUAUUUUGGAUAAAUAAGAACUCUCGAUCUUCACUUAUAUCUUUUUGAGAGUGCUCUCUUUGAGUAGGUGGGUAGUUGGCUUGUGCUAUGAAAGUAGUCCUAAAGUUGAUAGGCAUCCAAAGAGGAUACAAUAAAAACUUCCAUAUUCAUGUGCAUUGAUUAGAAAGAGAAGUUUGAUUCCUCUCAAUUAGUUUUGAGACAUGGAUUUGGUAAUAUUAGAGUCAUGUUAGUAGGGUGUUGUGAAUCUAGAAAUACUUGUGUUGAAGUUAGUGAUUCCCGUAACAUGCACGUAUGGUGAAUCGCUAUGUUAGGAAGUCGAAGCAUAAUUGAUUUAUUGAUUGUCAUCCUUUGUGUUGCGGUCGGGAACGCGCGAUGGUUAACACCUACCAACCCUUCCCCUAGGAGUAUGCAUUUAGCACUUUGUUCUGAUUACUAAUAAAAACUUUCGCAAUAAGUAUGUGAGUUCUUCAUGACUAAUGGGAGUCCAUGGUAUAGAUGCACUUUCACCUUCCACCAUUUCUAGCCUCUCUAAUGCCGCGCAACUUUUGCCGAUACACAAAACCACCAUAGACCUUCCUCAAAACAGCCAGCAUACCUACCUAUCAUGGCCUUUUCAUAGCCAUUCCGAGAUAUAUUGCCAUGCAACUCCCACCAUUCCGUCUCAUGACUUGUGUCGUCACUUACAUAUUGCCAUUGCACGAUCGUAAGAUAGCUAGUGAGAUGUUUCAACGUCCUACGCCAAGCUAGAUCGUUGCACAUCCCGGUACACUACCAGAGGCAUUUCCUAUAGAGUCAUCAUCGUUCUAAGCAUUGAGCUGUGAGUAAAUAAAGUGUGAUGAUCAUCAUUAUUAGAGCAUUGUCCCAUGUCAGGAAAAAUGAAAAGAGGCCAAAUAUGCCCAMCAAAAAAAAGGAAAAAAAUAGAAAAGAGGCCGAAGAGCCCAAAAAGAGAGAGAGAGAGAGAAGAAAGAAGGGACAAUGCUACUAUCUUUUCCACACUUGUGCUUCAUAUAGCACCAUGUUCUUCAUGAUUGAGAGCCUCUUUGUUUGUUCCACCACCAUAUACUAGUGGGAUCUUCAUUAUGUNNNNNNNNNNNNNNNNNNNNNNNNNNNNNNNNNNNNNNNNNNNNNNNNNNNNNNNNNNNNNNNNNNNNNNNNNNNNNNNNNNNNNNNNNNNNNNNNNNNNUAGCAGAGUACGCCGAUGCAGUUCCGGAMAGCCAACGACGGAGGSCSUUUCCUACGUGCUCGAGGGCGGGRAAUGGGACCCCUGGGGAUCCCGCAUCCCCCGCCGAUAGUUUCCCCUGCCGGUGGUGGCCGGGAGUGGCGCCGCCAGCACCCUCGGGUCCGACCGCCGGCGGAGUUCAUCUCGUGAGUGGAGUGGUUUCCUAUUUUACCUUCUUGUCUAAACCAGUCAUCGAUCCGUAGCCCGAUGGUAGAGUUGUGCUGGCUUAUUCUAGCGCCUGUAGGAGGGCGUGGGUUCGAGUCCCCCCUCGGCGCCCUUUUUAUUCUUUUGUUUUGAUUUAUUCCUGCAGGUAGCUUACCUUGCCUUUUCUCUUCUCUUGACCACAACUUGUGCAGCAGCGCAGUGGUGAGAUAGUGGUGCUGGACACCAGGGGCCUGAGUUCGAAUCCCAGCAGCCCCUGAUUCUAUUUUUUUGCUUUAUUUUCUUUUCCUGCCUUUUAAUUUCUGUUUCCCUAACUCCAUACAAAGUGGUUUGUUAGUUUUGUGAAUUCUCUGAUAACUAACUCUUUUAUACAGUGGGGGUGAUUUUGUUCCUGCUAAUAUAGAUAGGGUAGAUUUAGUUAUGUGUGUGUUUUGCACACUAAGAGGUGAUGUGUGAUCUUGCUAUACUUGUGAUGGUUUGGUGGGUGCACCUUAGUGAUAGAGGAGUUAGCCUUGGUAAGUGGAUGAUGCUAGCUGCCUUGACAAUUAUGUGUGUUGUGCUUGGAGGUGAUAAGAUGCACUAGCCACUCUUGUAUAGCCCCAACUUUUGAAAUUUGGUGUGGGCUAAGUGAUCUUGUAGUUUUAUUUGUUUGCAAUGAUUUAGUGGGAUGUGGGUGCCUCCCCCUCAUCACAUGUUUUGGUGUGAAGUGAUGUUCUAGAUAGCUCUAUGUUAGCAUGUGAGGGUGUGGAUUGUUGUGGUGGUUGCAUAUUGAGGAUGACAUGGAUACUAGGAAGAUCCUAGUGAUGCUUGUGAGAGUGUGCACCAUCACAUGCCCAUAUGUGGGGGUGUGCAUACUCUCUUGUUAGCUUAGAGUCCCAUUGUGUUGUGCUUGAAAUCUAGUAGUAUUGUGAUAUGGGUGUUGGUGUUGUUGAUGUGCAUGACACAAACAUGGGGUUCAAACCCCCAUGUCACUUUGUCAUUGUGCACAUGAAACCCUCCUAUGUAAUUGUCAUCUUAGAAGCAUACCUUAUGGAUUUGCAUUACAUUUUGUUGAAAGUUUGGGCUUUGUUUCCAUGGUAUAGAUGGAGCCCAAGGGCAUGAAUUUUGUGUGCUAGUAGUAGGGGUUUGUGCUCAACACCAUAGUGGUGUCAAUAACCUCUUGGUGACAUGUGUGUGCAAACUAUGCCUAGACAAAGUGGGCAUGUGGCUGGAAAAUUCCAGAUUUUUUGAACUCUGAAAAUUUCACUAAGUCUGGAAUGCUGGAAACAUUUUCUUCCCCUGUAGACAAGGAUGUGCUGGUCAUUCUGUUGAGAACUGGACUUAGUUCAGUGCUAGUGUUUUGAAUCUGGUAUGUUUGUGAAGCUUCCUGUCAAUUUUCAAGUCAUUUGGAGUCCAGUAACUUGUGUUUUGAUUGCUGUCAAAAAGCUUCAGAACAGAAACAGAAUCUCAGGUGCAGGAAUUUUCACUAAGUCCCUGAGAACUGAUGGUUUUGGGAAAAUUUGUGGCCUUGUAUCUUCUAGAGUUUAAUUCCUUUUGCUGUGAUUCUUGCUGUAGCUUGUAGUGUUCUUGGUUGGAAACAGCCACAUAUAUUAUUUGUCAUAUUUGAAGACCUGUAGCUAUGUUGUAUGUGGCUCACAAACAGCUAAGAUGCAGAAACUGGCAGAUUGCGUAGUUUUGCCAUUUUGUUCAAAGUUUGUGUUUAAUUGUUGUUGGGGUGUUCUACCUUGCUCCAUUUCAUUCAUGUUGGGUUAAUAUAUGUCUUGGAAACCUGGGAACACCAGAUUUGUGCCAAUUGUGUGUGUGUUGAUGAAUCUUCCUACGUAGGGCUUCAUAUCGUGUUUCGUUGAUUCCCGGUUGAUCCGUAGCUCCGUUUGCAAAGUUCUUUACAUGGUUUUUGCACCGUUUUUACGAGAUGCAUCUGUUCGUAUCAUUCCCAUGCAUGUCCAAAUAGUUUAGUGCAAAGUUCUGUCCAGGAACUUGUUGUAGUUUAUCUUGCUUGUGCUAGUGUUAGAAAUAGUGGUGCAUGCUCAACUUUCAUCUCAUGCAUCAUGUGAUUGUUGCAUUUUGUGGUGCUGCUGUUCAUUGGCUGUUAUUCUUGUGUUGGGUAAGCACCGGGAGCGGAGACCGAAUACGUGGAUCAGAGAGUACGUGCAGGACGAUCCAGAACCUUUCCAAGCCGAGGAUAUCACAGGCAAGAUGACAUGACCUUGAUCCCAUAUCUAGACUUGUUAUGUUAGUUUCGAUUCCAUGUCAUAUUGCUCGCUGCCUACCACUGAAAAUAUAUUGCCUCUUCAUAUGCCAUGAGCCUAAACACCUUACUCUUUCCUAGCAAACUUGCAUGGCUAGGUAGGCUUGCUCCGCUACUAAUGUUAGCAUUGUUAGUUGCAGGUGUUUAUAACUCAUGAGUUGCCAUGAGCUUGAUAUCAUUAUAUUAAUUUAUUUUAUUUAAUUAAUGUAUCUAUAUAUUUGGUAAAUGACGGGAGGCCUAGCCUUUUGUCGGGUGUCUUGUUCCGUUAUUGCCGCCUUAGUUACCGGUUACCGGUGUUUGAUUCCAUAAUGAUCGCUCCUAACACGUUCGGGGUUGUUAUGGGGACCCCCUUGAUAAAUCGCGUAGUGUUAAGGCUUGUCCGGCAGGACCCAACUUUGGUAUUAAUCUGCUAAUCACUUAAUAAUAAUCUGCAUAGGGAAUAGCUACCCCGAGGAUUCUAAUCAACAACCCGGGCCAGUGCUCCUCAUGAGUGUUGGUCCAAACUGGGCAGACUAUGGGGCCACCACAGGGCAACCUGAGGUUUGGUAUACCUGUAGUGUGACUCAUCCGGCGUGUCCUCAGACUGAGAUACGCGGCUCUUAUCAGGGUCGUCGACACGUCGAGAGGUCCUGCUAGUCUUGUCUUGCCUUAGCGGUAUAUCUUGCGUAUAGGAAUUCCUGUGAAGCUUUGGUUUUCCCCAGAGUCGAGGUUUUCCUCUAAGGAAUCCGACGAGAUCACGAGAUUCGUGUUAGAGGAUGCCUUUGCGGCAUGUGUUCGUUUGUGAUGGACUAGUUGGAGCACCCCUACAGGGUUUAAUCUUUGGGAAAGCCGUGCCCGCGGUUAUGUGGCAACUUGGAAUAUUUUGUUAACAUCCGGUAUUAGAGAACUUGAACAUAAACUAAUAAAAAAAAUGCAACUGUGUGUGUAACCGUGACUGUCCCUUCGAAGCCCUCUCUUCGAUCGGGAACACGGUGGGGUUAUGAAUGCCGUAGGUAGGUGUUCAGGAUCACUUUCUGAUCAAGUGUUCACGAUCGUUAGCAUAGAACACUGUCACUUCUCCUUUGCGUAAGCUAGCCGCUUAUUCAACCUUAGGAUGCAGCAGCCUGAAACACUUCACCCUUCCUUACCCAAUAACAUGACUAGUUCUGGCACCAAGGUCUUAGAUUGCUGAGUCCCCGUGGCUCACGGAUUCCUCCGAAACUCCCAGCAGGUACAGGUACCCCAGAGGCAGAUGAUCCCGACGGCACCCAGCUGGCGUGGCAGUACGAUGAGGAGACAGAUCGCCUUUACGUGAACUAUCCAGAGAACUGAGCCGUGGUCGUGAUCAUGGGCCUGCAGCGGGUAGCAUAGCAUUUUCCUUGUUUUGUAGUCCGUACCGGAACUACCUUGUUUGUAUCUGCGUUGUACUCUGUAUUUUAAUAAGAAGACAGUUGAAUCCCAGAUUGUCUACUGUAAGUAUUAUUAUAUGCUAUGUUUACUUGCUUGCGAAACACUUAGAUGCGCUUCUUUCCUAUUCGGGGGCCUCGACCCCCAGAUCGGAAAGGACCGCAUCUUGGUCGUUACAGUAGUUCAGCACAAAACCUUUGUAGCUUGGUGGGAGAGACUGGAGGAUUCUGUCAAUUAUAGCAUCAUCCGGAAGUUCGACUCCAAGUGAAGUCAGACGACCGUGUAACCCAGACAUUUGAGUAUGUGCUCACCGACAAAACUGUUCUCCUCCAUCUUAUAGCUAAAGAACUUGUCGGAGACUUCAUAUCUCUCGACACGGGCAUGAGCUUGAAAAACUAGUUUCAGCUCUUGGAACAUCUCAUAUGCAUCGUGUUGCUCAAAACGCCUUUGGAGCCCCGUUUCCAAACUAUAUAACAUGCCACACCUAACCAGAGAGUAGUCAUUACUCCGCGUUUGCCAGACGUUCAGAAUGCCCUGGGCUGCUGCGGGAGCGGGAGGGUCACCUAGCGGCGCAUCAAGGACAUAAGCCUUUUUAGCUGCUUCAAGGAUGAGCUUCAAGUUGUGGACCCAGUCCGCAUAGUUGCUACCAUCAUCUUUCAGCUUGUUUUUCUCUAGGAAUGCGUUGAAAUUGAGGUUGACAUUGGCCAUCUACAAUAUUUAUAAAGACAACUUUUAGACUAAGUUCAUGACAAUUAAGUUCAUUUAAUCAAAUUAAGUAUGAACUCCCACUUAAAUCGACAUCCCUCUGGUCAUCUAAGUGAUACAUGAUCCAUGUUGACUAACCCGUGUCCGAUCAUCACGUGAGACGGACUAGUCACCAUGGUGAGCAACUUCAUGCUGAUCGUAUUCAACCAUACGACUCAUGUUCAACCUUUCGGUCUCUUGUAUUCGAGGUCAUGUCUGUACAUGCUAAGCUCGUCGAGUCAACCUAGGUGUUUCGCGUGUGUAAAUCUGGCUUACACCCGUUGUAUGUGAACGUUAGAAUCUAUCACACCCGAUCAUCACGUGGUGCUUCGAGACAACGAUCCUUUGCAACGGUGCACACUUAGGGAAUACGUUCUCCAAAUUUUAAGAGGGGUCAUCUUAUUAUGCUACCGUCGUUCUAAGCAAUAAUAUGAAAAACAUGAUAAACAUCACAAUGCAAUCAUAUAGUGACAUGAUAUGGCCAUUAUGAUCUUUGCUCUUUCGAUCUCCAUCUUCAGGCAUCGCAUGAUCAUCAUUGUCACCGGCGUGACACCAUGAUCUCCAUCAUCAUGAUCUCCAUCAUCGUGUCUCCGUGAAGUCGUCACGCCAACUACUACUAUCACUACUACUAUAGCUAACCGUUAGCAAUGAAGUAAAAGUAGUAAGCACAUGGCGUUGCAUCUCAUACAAUAAAUUAAGACAACUCCUAUGGCAACUGCCGGUUGUCAUACUCAUCGACAUGCAAGUCGUGAAACCUAUUACAAUAACAUGAUCAUAUCAUACAUCAUACAUGCAACAUCACAACUUUGGCCAUAUCACAUCACAUGUCAAACCCUGCAAAAACAAGUUAUAUGUCCUCUAAUUGUUGUUGCAAGUUUUACGUGGCUGAUUUGGGUUUCUAGCAAGAACGCUUUCUUACCUACGUGGCAGCCACAACGAUGAUAUGCCAAAUCUAUUUACCCUUCAUAAGGACCCUUUUCAUCAAAUCCAAUCUGACUAGAGUAGGAGAGACAGACACCCGCUAGCCACCUUUAUGCACGGUGUGCAUGUCUGUCGGUGGAACCAGUCUCAUGUAAGCGUACGUGUAAUGUCGGUCCGGGCCGCUUCAUCCCACAAUACCGCCGGAAAAGAAUAAGACAAGUAGCGGCAAGCAAUUGACAAAUCAUCGCCCACAACCUUUUGUGUUCUACUUGUGCAUAGAAUCUACGCAUAGAAAACGUGGCUCGGAUGCCACUCUUGGGUAACGUAGCAUAAAUUCAAAAAAAAUUCCUACGCAUAUUCAGAUCUUCCUAUGGAGAGACYAGCAAYGAGAGAGGGGUGAGUGCAUCUUCAUACCUUUGAAGAUYGCUAAGCAGAAGCGUUGCUAGAACGCGGUUGAUGGAGUCAUACUCGCGGCGAUUCAGAUCGCGGUGUGAUUCCGAUCUAGUGCCGAACCACGGCACCUCCGCGUUCAACACACGCGCAGCCCGGUGACGUCUCCCGCACCUUGAUCCAGCAAGGAGGAGGGAGAGGUUGGGAAAGAUCUCCGGCAGAACGACGGCGUGGUGUCGAUGGAGAGACGAGGUCUCCCGGUAGGGAUUCGCCAAGCACCGGCAAAGAGGAGGAGAAGGAAGAGCAGGGCUGCGCCGAGGGAGAGGAAGAUUGGUGUCUCCAACAGCCCAAAGUGCCCACUAUAUAUAGGGGGAGGGGCUGUUCCCUCCUGAGGGUUUCCCUCUCCUGGGAGGGGCGGCAGCCCUAGAUCGGAGGAGGUGCGGCGGCCAGGAGGUGAGGAGGGGUGGCACACCCUUCUAGUGGGCCUUAGGCCCACCUGCACCAGGGGUUCCCCCCUCUCCCCUCUUCUUGCGCCAUGGGCUGAGUGUGGGGGGCGCACCAGCCCACCUAGGGGCUGGUUCUCUCCCACACUUGGCCCAUCUAGCCUCCUGGCGUGGUGGCCCCUUUCCGGUGGACCCCCCGGUAGUACGUUACCGGCGACGCCCGAAACACUUCCGGUGUCCAAAACCAUCCGUCCUAUAUAUCAAUCUUUACCUCCGGAUCAUUCCGGAGCUCCUCGUGACGUCCGGGAUCUCAUCCGGGACUCCGAACAACUUUCAGUAACCUUGUAUAACAAUUCCCUAUAAUACUAGCGUCAUCGAACCUUAAGUGUGUAGACCCUACGGGUUUGGGAGAYAGGCAGACAUGACCGAGACACCUCUCCGGCCAAUAACCAUCAGCGGGGUCUGGAUACCCAUGGUGGCUCCCACUUGCUCCACGAUGAUCUCAUCGGAUGAACCACGAUGUCAAGGAUUCAAUCAACCCCGUAUACAAUUCCCUUUGUCUGUCGGUAUAGAACUUGCCCGAGAUUCGAUCGUCGGUAUACCUAUACCUUGUUCAAUCUCGUUACCGGUAAGUCUCUUUACUCGUUCCGUAGCACGUCAUCGUGUGACUAACUCCUUAGUCACAUUGAGCUCAUGAUGAUGUUCUACCGAGUGGGCCCAGAUAUACCUCUCCGUCACGCGGAGUGACAAAUCCCGAUCUCGAUUCGUACCAACCCAACAGACACUUUCAGAGGUACCCGUAGUGCACCUUUAUAGUCACCCAGUUACGUUGUGACGUUUGAUACACCCAAAGCACUCCUACGGUAUCCCAGAGUUGCACAAUCUCAUGGUCGAAGGAAAAGACACUUGACAUUAGAAAAGCUUUAGCAUACGAACAAUACGAUCUAGUGCUAUGCUUAGGAUUGGGUCUUGUCCAUCACAUCAUUCUCCCAAUGAUGUGAUCCCGUUAUCAAUGACAUCUAAUGACCAUGAUCAGGAAACCAUGAUCAUCUAUUGAUCAACGAGCUAGCCAACUAGAGGCUUACUAGGGACACAUUGUGAUCUAUUUAUUCACACAUGUAUUACUGUUUCCUGUUAAUACAAUUAUAGCAUGAAYAAUAGACRAUUAUYAUGAAUAAGGAAAUAUAAUAAUAACCACUUUAUUAUUGCCUCUAGGGCAUAUUUCCAACAUAUCCUUGCUGCCAUAUAGCACUACCACAUAUCCACCACAAUCCUAGUCUGCGUCUUUUUCGUAUUAGGUUAAUUUCGAGAUCCUCUUGUUUUCGGUUUCGCGUUUCCUUACCUGAGUAGGUUUUUGGAAAACAAGGUCUGGCACGCUUUUUAGAGCACUUUUUAGGCCAAAAAUUUCAGGAGGUGAAAUUUUUUCCCCCUAUCGUUUUGUUAUGUUUUUAGAGAGUUUUGAGACACUCGCCAUCAUAGUGAUUUUUUGUCGCAAUUUUUGGUCCUCGCAGCCCCGAAUUGCUCCAGAAAAAAUAUUGUCAAAUUUUUUCGUGCCUAUCUUGUUUUUUGUUCCUUCGGAAGUAGAAUUUUGAAGACACUCGCCAUUAUAGUGAUUUUUUUGACCUAAAAAAAAAAUUAGUGCCCAAAAAAAAAGAGCUACAAAAAAACGAGGUAAAAGAAAANNNNNNNNNNNNNNNNNNNNNNNNNNNNNNNNNNNNNNNNNNNNNNNNNNNNNNNNNNNNNNNNNNNNNNNNNNNNNNNNNNNNNNNNNNNNNNNNNNNNUUGAUCAAUUCACGUAGUCCUUCUUUGUUUUUGCUUUACUUGUUCCACUACAAUUUCUCAUCAUGGUAUAAUUAACAAUGGACGGGUUCGAAUUUUACUUAACAAAAUAGGAUAGGACUGACUACAUUAGUUAGUUAGCUUUAUUAUUUUAAUAAAUCAAAUUAUUAUAAAAAGNUUAAAAGCACGUUAGUAUUUUUUUACUACUACCGUUGCAACGCACGGACCCUUUUUGCUAGUUGCUUAUAAUGCACUUUCAGCAUGCUGGAGCAUCAUAUCAACGAACAUAACUACUGAACAUGCAACAGCUUUUUGUAUCGUAUAGGCAAAUACCUUUCAGAACGAAUACAUAUAAAGUUCAGUACUGAAACUAGUGGAACAAAAUUUGUAUAGCUUCUUAAAAGCUCAAAGGUCCUUGCUGAACAAACUUAUGUCUAGAGCCUAUAUAAGCCGACACAACUAACAUUUCUGAAUAGCUCAAACUCCACAUAUUCUCUGGAAGGAUAUUUCUAUCUACCACAGGCCACCUCAUCCAAAAUUACUCAGUUGGCUUGUCUGGGUCAUCUUCCUCAGGAUCCUCCUUGUCAGGAUCN